RNAcentral lists this ribosomal RNA (497 nucleotides) under uncultured bacterium. RNAcentral describes it as "partial 16S ribosomal RNA". It matches the Rfam family "Bacterial small subunit ribosomal RNA", at positions 28 to 507 of the family's 1533-position model. The record is from RNAcentral.
GAUGAACGCUGGCGGCGUGCCUAAUACAUGCAAGUCGAGCGAACAGAUAAGGAGCUUGCUCCUUUGACGUUAGCGGCGGACGGGUGAGUAACACGUGGGUAACCUAUCUAUAAGACUGGAAUAACUCCGGGAAACCGGGGCUAAUGCCGGAUAACAUUUAGAACCGCAUGGUUCUAAAGUGAAAGAUGGUUUUGCUAUCACUUAUAGAUGGACCCGCGCCGUAUUAGCUAGUUGGUAAGGUAACGGCUUACCAAGGCAACGAUACGUAGCCGACCUGAGAGGGUGAUCGGCCACACUGGAACUGAGACACGGUCCAGACUCCUACGGGAGGCAGCAGUAGGGAAUCUUCCGCAAUGGGCGAAAGCCUGACGGAGCAACGCCGCGUGAGUGAUGAAGGUCUUCGGAUCGUAAAACUCUGUUAUUAGGGAAGAACAAAUGUGUAAGUAACUGUGCACGUCUUGACGGUACCUAAUCAGAAAGCCACGGCUAACUACGUG